Molecule: non-coding RNA, 58 nt
Organism: Caenorhabditis elegans
Lineage: Eukaryota; Metazoa; Nematoda; Chromadorea; Rhabditida; Rhabditidae
Source: Ensembl
AUAUACAGUGCUGGCCAAAAAGAUAUCCACUUUUGGUUUUUUGUGUGUAACUUUUUUC